Molecule: long non-coding RNA, 612 nt
Organism: Herpailurus yagouaroundi (jaguarundi)
Lineage: Eukaryota; Metazoa; Chordata; Mammalia; Carnivora; Felidae
Exons: 3
Source: RefSeq, a predicted model, not a curated record
UGCAAACUGAGGUGCAAAGGGACCUAAUGAUGUCUCAAGGUUACCUGGAAAAUGAGUAACACUGAUUGAGAACUCACAAUGCUCUUUCUUCCCUGGAAGGAAAGAUGAGAAACAAGGUACCAGGUGAACAGAGAAGGACCCCCUCUUCAUGUGGACUUGACCGCCUCAUCACCCUCCAAGAGGAGGAGGAAUCCUAUGUAUUUUUUAUCUUUUUAAUGAGAAGAACAGGAAGUUUGGACUCAGACCAACUAGAGGAGCAUUUAGCUGCUGACACAGUCGCUUAGACAGGAAGGGACAUUUGCAGUGGUUGAAAAUAUGCAUCUGAAAACAGAGUUUGGUGAGCUAUGUAGACCCUGCCUCUGCCCGACCGGCUGCAGCCCCAGGCUGGGUGGGGACUUAAGCAUCAUUCUCCCAGGUGGACUGAGAAUCAAGCCCAGGAAUGGAGAAUCCAGAAGAGGCUUCAAAUGGACACAGGAUUUCCUCUUUACUAAUUUCACACUUUGCCUUAAAGAAGAGUGAUCACAUUGUCUUCAUUUGUCCAGGCACAGCCCUGGUUGUGAUACCAUUGUCCUAGUAUAAUUAUUAAUAACGUGCCCUUUUAUCUCAAAAGUA